Molecule: non-coding RNA, 29 nt
Filed under: Homo sapiens (human)
Lineage: Eukaryota; Metazoa; Chordata; Mammalia; Primates; Hominidae
Source: RNAcentral
UUGCCAAAGCAAGGGACUCCAGCCUCUUA